RNAcentral lists this ribosomal RNA (253 nucleotides) under uncultured bacterium. RNAcentral describes it as "partial 16S ribosomal RNA". It matches the Rfam family "Bacterial small subunit ribosomal RNA", at positions 524 to 776 of the family's 1533-position model. The record is from RNAcentral.
UACAGAGGUCUCAAGCGUUGUUCGGAUUCAUUGGGCGUAAAGGGUGCGUAGGUGGCGCCGUAAGUCGGGUGUGAAAUUUCGGAGCUUAACUCCGAAACUGCAUUCGAUACUGCGGUGCUUGGGGACUGGAGAGGAGACUGGAAUUCAUGGUGUAGCAGUGAAAUGCGUAGAGAUCAUGAGGAAGACCAGUGGCGAAGGCGGGUCUCUGGACAGUUCCUGACACUGAGGCACGAAGGCCAGGGGAGCAAACGGG